Ananas comosus (pineapple) is the source of this 943-nucleotide RNA transcript. It is a transcript of the gene named molybdopterin synthase sulfur carrier subunit-like, with no coding region annotated. The record is from RefSeq and is a predicted model, not a curated record. The transcript is spliced from 2 exons. Lineage: Eukaryota; Viridiplantae; Streptophyta; Magnoliopsida; Poales; Bromeliaceae.
CUACUUUUUAAGUUGAGGAAUCUUUUCAGAACGGAGCAUUAAUUAAGGGGGUUUAUCCAUAAAUUUUACCUAAGAAGUUCGUGCCGAAAUAAAAGAGGUAAGGAUUCUUUUCCAAAUGUCAUAUAAUUUAGGGGUUAUCCGUAAAUUUACCACAUAAAUCUGGCAUAUUUGCAAUUUUCUCCCUAACAAAGACAGAUAUUACAUAUCCCUAUAUAGCACUCUAAGUUGGAGUUGUGUGUAUCGCCCUUUGUGUUGACCGUUGAAUAUUGUUUCUUCCUCCUUCUCAUAACCUAUUUUUAGGGCUUUUUGGGGCGUGUCGAGGGCCACGGCGAAGGUCGUGUCCAUGGCGACGGAGCAACCCAAAGAUACGGGAGGGAUACGGGAGGAUAUGGGGGAUAUGGUCGGAUUCUUUUUUGGUCUAAAAUGAUCGGAACUCAAAACUUUUCAAAUCGCCCACAUCCUGAACCAUUGCAAAUAAAGAAAGAGUGAGAAAAAUGUCAUUCUCUCUUCAAUUCGUCAUUUCUUUGAUCUCUUUGCUCGUGGAUGGUUGAAGGUGCUCUCUCUCGCUCUAUCUCCAUGCAUGAUUAAGCUAUGGUUAAAUCCUUUAUGACUUAGCUUUUACUUUCUCUUAUCUAAUUUAUCAACCUAGCACUAAUUAACAAAGGCCGUAGAGUGAUUUUUUUCUUCUUCUAUCAAAGUGUUAGCAUUUUUUUUAUUACUAUUUUAUAUAAUAAAAUAUAAUAAAACAGAUAUAUAUGAUGAAUUCAUCUAAUUUUCUAGUCUGUGCCACUAAAUAUCUAUUGUUAUUAUUUGAUCAAGUUGGAUGAUAGUUGAUUAAUACUUUUUGAAUUUAUUAUUUCAUACGAUUGAUUAUCUUUUUUGAUGAACAAAUCUAAAACAAUUAUGCAAGCAAAUAUAUAUCAGCAUAUAACAAAUAUCCUGA